RNAcentral lists this long non-coding RNA (1214 nucleotides) under Piliocolobus tephrosceles (Ugandan red Colobus). RNAcentral's name for it is "lncRNA (ENSPTEG00000010902.1)". Lineage: Eukaryota; Metazoa; Chordata; Mammalia; Primates; Cercopithecidae. The record is from RNAcentral.
AUGACGAUGGUUAUAGUAAAAGAGAUGACCAAAGUGAUUAUGCCUUAUUAAAAAAAGGAUUAUAUAAAAAAAAACUUGCACAUAGAAGAAAACGAACAUAAUCAUAAGGACAAUAAUAGGGAUAGAAAUAGAGACAGUAAUAGGGACAGCAAUAGGAGGAGCAAUAGGGACAACAAUAGGAGGAGCAAUAGGAGGAACAAUAAUGAUAGCAAUAGGAGAAGCAAUAAUGAUAGCAAUAGGAGAAGCAAUAAGAGGAGUAAUAGGAACAACACUAGAGACAGUAAUAGAGACAGUAAUACUAGCACUAAUGAUGAUGUUACUUAUCGUAGUAGUGAUUAUAAACAUAAUGAUAAUCAUAGAAAUAACAAGUACUAUCGGUAUAAAGACAAAAAAUAUACAAAAGAAGAAGAACGAUAUAGAAAACACACAAAAAAAGAAAAAAAGUGAUAUAACAGAUUCAAAAUAUCAAAAAAAAAAAGUACCCACUACUAUAUCUACAAAUAUUACCCCAAAUAGUGCAACUAUUGCAUCUACAAAUACAAAUAAUAAUUUGGAAGAAUAUAUGUAUAAUCAAAAACACGGUGAUAAUAGUUUCUCAACUAAGUAUAAUAAUAACAAUAAUAACUCUUUAUUACAUUACCCAUAUAAUGUAAAUAAGGAUAGUACACAAGACCAAGACGGUCCUGAAUGUUUAAACCCCUACGCAUAUCACAAUAAUGACAAUAUCGAUUAUUACUACAGUAACAGUAGUAGCAAAUUGGACCAAAACCAAAAUAAUUAUAUAAACCGGACGAACACAAGUAUGAAUAGCAAUAGUAGUAUCAGUAAUAAUAAUAACAAUAACUAUAAUAAUAAAGAUAAAGAUUUCCAAACAAUGCUUGCAAAUUUAAAUAACAUAGAAAUUACAGAUACUAAAAUUUUGUUAUUAUAUACAUGCAAGUUACUAUUACGUAUGUAUGAAGAAAAAAGUAUUAAUGACGCAAAAGAUAAAAUUAAUAUAUCUAUAACAUCAAUAGAAAUGUUAAGAGAAUUAAAAAGCCAUAAUCCAAAAAAAGUUAAAUUAUUAAAAAUUAAUACUCUUAAUGAUAUACUAAUACAUCUUUCAAAAAAAAGUGAUAAGAGCAGUGUGAAUGAAAAAAAGGUUAAGGAUGAAAAUAAAAUUUAUAACAUCAGUAACGACUAUAACAUUUGUAAUUACUCAAACAAAUAUAACA